AGCAGCCGCCGCGGUAAUACAGAGGGUGCGAGCGUUAAUCGGAUUUACUGGGCGUAAAGCGUGCGUAGGCGGCUUCUUAAGUCGGAUGUGAAAUCCCUGAGCUUAACUUAGGAAUUGCAUUCGAUACUGGGAAGCUAGAGUAUGGGAGAGGAUGGUAGAAUUCCAGGUGUAGCGGUGAAAUGCGUAGAGAUCUGGAGGAAUACCGAUGGCGAAGGCAGCCAUCUGGCCUAAUACUGACGCUGAGGUACGAAAGCAUGGGGAGCAAACAGGAUUAGAUACCCCUGUUAGUCCCUGUCUCUUAUA
RNAcentral lists this ribosomal RNA (303 nucleotides) under uncultured bacterium. RNAcentral's name for it is "partial 16S ribosomal RNA". It matches the Rfam family "Bacterial small subunit ribosomal RNA", at positions 507 to 808 of the family's 1533-position model. The record is from RNAcentral.